CACAUGCAAGUCGAAGCGGCACGCACGGGGGACAACCCUGGUGGCGAGUGGCGAACGGGUGAGUAAUACAUCGGAACGUGUCCUGUAGUGGGGGAUAGCCCGGCGAAAGCCGGAUUAAUACCGCAUACGCUCUACGGAGGAAAGGGGGGGAUCUUAGGACCUCCCGCUACAGGGGCGGCCGAUGGCAGAUUAGCUAAUUGGUGGGGUAAAGGCCUACCAAGGCAACGAUCUGUAGCUGGUCUGAGAGGACGACCAGCCACACUGGGACUGAGACACGGCCCAUACUCCUACAGGAGGCAGCAGUGGGGAAUUUUGGACAAUGGGCGAAAGCCUGAUCCAGCAAUGCCGCGUGUGUGAAGAAGGCCUUCAGGUUGUAAAGCACUUUUGUCCAGAAAGAAAACGCCGUGGUUAAUACCCGUGGCGGAUGACGGUACCGGAUGAAUAAGCACCGGCUAACUACGUGCCAGCAGCCGCGGUAAUACGUAGGGUGCAAGCGUUAAUCGCAAUUACUGGGCGUAAAGCGUGCGCAGGCGGUCCGCUAAUACAGAUGUGAAAUCCCCGGGCUUAACCUGGGAACUGCAUUUGUGACUGGCGAGCUAUACUAUGGCACAGGGGGGUAGAAUUCCACGUGUAGCAGUGAAAUGCGUAGAGAUGUGGAGGAAUACCGAUGGCGAAGGCAGCCCCCUGGGCCGAUACUGACGCUCAUGCACGAAAGCGUGGGGAGCAAACAGGAUUAGAUACCCUGGUAGUCCACGCCCUAAACGAUGUCAACUAGUUGUCGAGUCUUCAUUGACUUGGUAACGUAGCUAACGCGUGAAGUUGACCGCCUGGGGAGUACGGUCGCAAGAUUAAAACUCAAAGAGAAUUGACGGGGACCCGCACAAGCGGUGGAUGAUGUGGAUUAAUUCGAUGCAACGCGAAAAACCUUACCUACCCUUGACAUGUACGGAUUCCUGCUGAGAGGGAGUUGUUAGGGAGAACGGAGCCAUGACACAGCUGUUGCACUGCGGUCGUCAUCAGGUGACGAUAGAUGUUAAGGACCUCAGCACCACCAGCGCGAACGUUGUCCGUAUUUGUUCCGCAAGCGCUCUGUAGGUAGAGAACCGGUGCCUAACCGGUGGAAAGUGCGGAAGGCUUCGAAGUCUCAUGGACAUUAUUGUUGGGGACGCGCACUUCAUGCAAUGCUCGCAGAAGGGGGUCGGCAAGCCGGGAAGCGGGGCCAAUUCCACAAAACCCAUCUUAGUUCGGAUUGCACUCUGCAACUCGAGUGCGUGAAGGAGGAAUCGCUAGUAAUCGCGGAUCAGCAUGUCGCGGUGAAUACGUUCCGGGGUGUUGUACACACCGCCCGUCACACCAUGGGAGUGGGUUUUACCAGAAGUGGGUAGGCUAACCGCAAGGAGGCAGAUCACCACGGUAGGAU
This 1420-nucleotide ribosomal RNA is filed under the name Burkholderia sp. Its description in RNAcentral is "bacterial SSU rRNA". It matches the Rfam family "Bacterial small subunit ribosomal RNA". The record is from RNAcentral. Lineage: Bacteria; Pseudomonadati; Pseudomonadota; Betaproteobacteria; Burkholderiales; Burkholderiaceae.